CACUGGGCGUAAAGGGUGCGUAGGCGGUGCAUUAGGUCUGUCGUGAAAUCCCCGGGCUCAACCUGGGAAUGGCGGUGGAAACCGGUGUACUAGAGUAUGGGAGAGGGUGGUGGAAUUCCAGGUGUAGCGGUGAAAUGCGUAGAGAUCUGGAGGAACAUCAGUGGCGAAGGCGGCCACCUGGCCCAAUACUGACGCUGAGGCACGAAAGCGUGGGGAGCAAACAGGAUUAGAUACCCUGGUAGUCCACGCCCUAAACGAUGAAUACUAGAUGUUUGGUGCCAAGCGUACUGAGUGUCGUAGCUAACGCGAUAAGUAUUCCGCCUGGGAAGUACGGCCGCAAGGUUAAAACUCAAAGGAAUUGACGGGGGCCCGCACAAGCGGUGGAGCAUGUGGUUUAAUUCGAUGCAACGCGAAGAACCUUACCUGGGCUUGACAUGUCUGGAAUCCUGCAGAGAUGCGGGAGUGCCCUUCGGGGAAUCAGAACACAGGUGCUGCAUGGCUGUCGUCAGCUCGUGUCGUGAGAUGUUGGGUUAAGUCCCGCAACGAGCGCAACCCUUGUCCUUAGUUGCCAGCGGUUCGGCCGGGCACUCUAGGGAGACUGCCGGUGACAAACCGGAGGAAGGUGGGGAUGACGUCAAGUCCUCAUGGCCUUUAUGUCCAGGGCUACACACGUGCUACAAUGGCGCGUACAGAGGGAAGCCAAGCCGCGAGGUGGAGCAGACCCCAGAAAGCGCGUCGUAGUUCGGAUUGCAGUCUGCAACUCGACUGCAUGAAGUCGGAAUCGCUAGUAAUCGCGGAUCAGCAUGCCGCGGUGAAUACGUUCCCGGGCCUUGUACACACCGCCCGUCACACCAUGGGAGUGGAUUGUACCAGAAGCCGUUAGCCUAACCUUCGGGAGGGCGAUGACCACGGUAUGGUUCAUGACUGGGGUGAAGUCGUAACAAGGUAGCCGUAGGGGAACCUGCGGCUGGAUCACCUCCUUUAAAGAAAUGGGUCCUAGACCCCACACACGCCACUCGGUAAAGAAUCGGGCCUAUAGCUCAGCUGGCUAGAGCACACGACUGAUAAUCGUGAGGUCAGUGGUUCGAGUCCACUUGGGCCCACCAAAUGGGGCUGUAGCUCAGCUGGGAGAGCACCUGCUUUGCAAGCAGGGGGUCACCGGUUCGAUCCCGGUCAGCUCCACCAAAGGGAAGAGGCCCGCGCGCAGCGGGUCGGACGCUGGGGUGGAGAAGUAGGCGGCAGUAGAUGAAAAAGAGUAAAUAGAGAUUCAGAGAGUAGUAGCAGUGGUAGAUCAUUUGAAUCGAUCAUUGUAAGGAGUCCGUAGUAGUGAGUUUCUGAAUAAAGAAGCUGAGUACUACCGAUUCGCAGUAUGGAAGCGGUAUUGUUCUUUGACAGUUGAGGAAGGGAAGGCCAUGUUUGUCAUCUUGCCGAUGGCAGACCUCCAGGUGGAUGCUUGGGGAUAUAUGGUCAAGUGAAUAAGGGCAUACGGUGGAUGCCUUGGCAGAGACAGGCGAUGAAGGACGUGGAUACCUGCGAAAAGCCUCGGGGAGC
This 1551-nucleotide small RNA is filed under the name Acidithiobacillus thiooxidans. RNAcentral describes it as "bacterial SSU rRNA". The stretch from base 1 to 983 matches the Rfam family "Bacterial small subunit ribosomal RNA", at positions 552 to 1533 of the family's 1533-position model. Lineage: Bacteria; Pseudomonadati; Pseudomonadota; Acidithiobacillia; Acidithiobacillales; Acidithiobacillaceae. The record is from RNAcentral.